UACAAAACAGAAAAAAAAAAAAAAGAAAAAAAAAGUAAGCUUUAAGUACCACCCUUAUAGUUUCGUAUUUUUUUACUUUAAUACCAUAUAAUUUAAGGUGUAUUAAUUUAAUAUCUUAUAAUUUUAUUUUUUCUUUUCGUCAGCUUUUUUAUUAAUAUUUUAUUAAAUUAUACAUAAAAAAUUUUAGAUAUUUUAUCUAGAUUUAUCGAAUAUUCAUUUUAGUAUUUUUUAGUUUUAACUUUUUUACUAAUUUAACGAAAAAUAUUAUUAAAAAAAAUAAUAAAAAAAUAAAAAUAAAAUUAUAGGUACUAAAUUGAUACAUUUUAAAUUAAAAGAUACUAAAAUAAAAAAAAAUGAAAUCAGGUGGUGGCAUUUAAAAUUUUUUCUUAAAAAAAAAAU
Molecule: long non-coding RNA, 399 nt
Filed under: Ananas comosus (pineapple)
Lineage: Eukaryota; Viridiplantae; Streptophyta; Magnoliopsida; Poales; Bromeliaceae
Description: long non-coding RNA (ACOM_LNC027444)
Source: RNAcentral